Molecule: ribosomal RNA, 508 nt
Filed under: uncultured bacterium
Lineage: Bacteria
Description: partial 16S ribosomal RNA
Rfam family: Bacterial small subunit ribosomal RNA
Source: RNAcentral
GAUGAACGCUAGCUACAGGCUUAACACAUGCAAGUCGAGGGGAAACGAUAUUGGAAGCUUGCUUCCGAUAGGCGUCGACCGGCGCACGGGUGAGUAACGCGUAUCCAACCUGCCCAUCACUUGGGGAUAACCUUGCGAAAGUAAGACUAAUACCCAAUGACGUCUCUAGAAGAAAUCUGAAAGAGAUUAAAGAUUUAUCGGUGAUGGAUGGGGAUGCGUCUGAUUAGCUUGUUGGCGGGGUAACGGCCCACCAAGGCGACGAUCAGGAGGGGUUCUGAGAGGAAGGUCCCCCACAUUGGAACUGAGACACGGUCCAAACUCCUACGGGAGGCAGCAGUGAGGAAUAUUGGUCAAUGGGCGAGAGCCUGAACCAGCCAAGUAGCGUGCAGGAUGACGGCCCUAUGGGUUGUAAACUGCUUUUAUAAGGGAAUAAAGUGAGAGUCGUGACUCUUUUUGCAUGUACCUUAUGAAUAGGGACCGGCUAAUUCCGUGCCAGCCGCCGCGGUAA